This is a long non-coding RNA of Salvia hispanica, 590 nucleotides long. RefSeq lists it as uncharacterized. The record is from RefSeq and is a predicted model, not a curated record. NCBI's taxonomy places the organism in Eukaryota, Viridiplantae, Streptophyta, Magnoliopsida, Lamiales, Lamiaceae.
UGCUUUACACACAUUACCAAAAUAACCCUCUCUUUGAAUUUAUUUUAUUCAGAAUUUGAGAACAAAUUACCAUACGAUUCUCCUCCACCUGCGUGUUCUACGAGCUUCCGAUGACUACUGUUGUUUGAAGAAGGUCCACCGGAACUGCACACUGACUUACACGCGACGACAAGAUGAAUUGUUCUGCCAAAAAGGACAAGUUUUUACAUUGUAUAAGUAAUAUUCUAAUGGAUCUUUAGAGAGACAAAAGGGAUCACCAAUGCAUCAAAUGGUAGCACCAAGCUUAAGAACCCUCUUCAUGAGUAGAAUAGUUCUCAUUCGAAUAAUCUGGGAUAAACACUCGUAAGUCAUCGAACCGGAACAGUAGCUGCUGCUGUGAGAAGUCACAUGAUGCUGAAAUCAUCAAGAUAUUAUUGUAUAUGGUAUGGAAGAGGCAGGUAUAAUUCCAAAGGCUGGAUGCAAAUUGUAGGUACAAGAGUUCAUGUAAACUAGUAUUCUGAAAUGCCACACCUUGUUACAUAGUCAUAUGCAAGACAUGCUUCUUCAUGUUGUAAAAAUUGCAUUGAAAAGUUUCACUUAUUUUGUUGGUA